UGAAUACGAGACGCUACGGCGUCGAAGCAGUCUAUGUCAUACUUCCAAGAAAAGCUUGCACUGUCAUAAACAAAUAAUGCCUGUACCAUAACCGACACAGGUGGGUAGGUAGAGUAUACUAAGGGGCGCGAGAUAACUCUCUCUAAGGAACUCGGCAAAAUGACUCCGUAACUUCGGGAGAAGGAGUGCCUUAUUUAUAAGGUUGCAAUAACAAGAUCCAAGCAACUGUUUAUCAAAAACACAGGUCUCCGCAAAGUCGUAAGACGAUGUAUGGGGGCUGACGCCUGCCCAGUGCCAGAAGGUUAAAGAAGUUGGUUAGCAUUAGCGAAGCUGAUAACUGAAGCCCUGGUGAACGGCGGCCGUAACAAUAACGGUCCUGAGGUAGCGAAAUUCCUUGUCGGGUAAGUUCCGACCCGCACGAAAGGCGUAAUGAUUUGGAUACUGUCUCAGAGCGGGGCUCGGUGAAAUAGACUUGUCUGUGAAGAUGCGGACUACCUGCACCAGGACAGAAAGACCCUAUGAAGCUUUACUGUAACUUGAAAUUGAAAUUGGACUUUAUUUGCGCAGUAUAGGUGGGAGGCAUUGAUAAUAUUCUUGCGGGAAUGUUGGAGCCAUCAGUGAGAUACCACUCUUGUAAUGUUAGAUUUCUAACUUUGGAUCAUUAUCUGGUCAAAGGACAGUUUCAGGCGGGCAGUUUGACUGGGGCGGUCGCCUCCUAAAUGGUAACGGAGGCGCACAAAGGUUUCCUCUGAACGGGUAGAAAUCGUAUCUAGAGUGUAAAGGCAUAAGGAAGCUUGACUGUGAGACCUACAAGUCGAGCAGGGACGAAAGUCGGUCUUAGUGAUCUGACGGUGCUGAGUGGAAAGGCCGUCACUCAACGGAUAAAAGUUACUCUAGGAUAACAGUCUGAUCUCCCCCAAGAGUUCACAUCGACGGGGAGGUUUGGCACCUUGAUGUCGGCUCAUCGCAUCCUGGGGCGGUAGUACGUCCCAAGGGUUGGGCUGUUCGCCCAUGAAAGCGGUACGCGAGCUGGGUUCAGAACGUCGUGAGACAGUUCGGUCCAUAUCCGGUGUAGGCGUUAGAAUAUUGAGAGGAGCCUUCUUUAGUACGAGAGGACCGAGAAGGACAUACCUCUGGUGUACCAGUUAUCGUGCCAACGGUAAACGCUGGGUAGCUAUGUAUGGAGAGGAUAACCGCUGAAAGCAUCUAAGUGGGAAGCCCACCUCAAGAUAAGUAUUCC
This 1240-nucleotide ribosomal RNA is filed under the name metagenome. Its description in RNAcentral is "bacterial LSU rRNA". It matches the Rfam family "Bacterial large subunit ribosomal RNA", at positions 1564 to 2814 of the family's 2925-position model. The record is from RNAcentral.